AACAAUAUCGCGGNAGAGGAUACACCUGUUCCCAUUCCGAACACAGAAGUUAAGCUCUCUAGCGCUGAUGGUACUUGGUGGGAAACUGCCUGGGAGAGUAGGACGUAGCCACGUG
Molecule: ribosomal RNA, 115 nt
Filed under: Clostridioides difficile
Lineage: Bacteria; Bacillati; Bacillota; Clostridia; Peptostreptococcales; Peptostreptococcaceae
Source: RNAcentral